Numida meleagris (helmeted guineafowl) is the source of this 1941-nucleotide long non-coding RNA. RefSeq lists it as uncharacterized. The transcript is spliced from 4 exons. The record is from RefSeq and is a predicted model, not a curated record. Lineage: Eukaryota; Metazoa; Chordata; Aves; Galliformes; Numididae.
AGCGCCGCGGCGAUAGCGCGCGCUGAGGCGUUACGAGCACCACCGAGGGCAGCCACUGGGCUGGCGUCCGUCUAUUUAUUUACUUAUUCAUAGAAAGUUUGACCCUUCCUCAGGACGAAGCUGAACACUGACGGAAGCAAUGGCUGCAGAGUUAAAACAACGGCGGUUUCGCUUUCGGGUGCCCCUUGGCACCCCGGCCGUGGCGGUUACGGGAGACGCAGCCGCCUUUUCCUCUUUUUUUUUUUUUUUUUUCCUUCCUCCUUUUAGGGCAAAGCAUGCCCUUUCGCUGUGAUCAGCAGUUCCUUGCCCUUUCGCUGUGAUCAGCAGUUCCUUGCAGGGUUCAUUGCAGCAUCGUUUCUGCCGCCGGACUUCCUUUGCUGAGGAAAGUUAUUCGCUGUUGCCCCAGGAAGCAUAAUAACACAUCCUAUGAAUCACUGAGCAGAGCUGCUGUGGGAGGUCACAAAACAAACCCCAUUUCUCAGAGGGUUGCUUCACAGAUAGGGAUAGAGCCGCGUGACUGGCGCCCUUACCGAGCAAAUCUCUGAAGCUUCCCGUUAAGUGAUGUUGCAGAUGGUUUUUGGAACAAAAAGUUGAUACGGGAAAGGAGCAAUAGUGAUGGGACUUCUCUACUCUCACCUUGGAUUUCCCUGAAGUUUGUUAUUCCUCUGAGUGCCAUUGCCUUCUAAAGGGGUCCUUGAUAGGUUUCAGAGAAAAAUCACAGAAUCAUAGAGAUUGGAAGGGAUCUCUGAAAAAUACUUGCCUUUUAGAGAACAUAUAAGUAUAAAGAAAAGAUGGAAGGAAACAACUUCAUUAUGUGACUUAAUCUGACUACAUUUGUCAAGACACAGAAGCACACGUAACAUUUGGGGAAUGUAUUCGUCUUCUAGUGAUUGCACAUGAGUGGUUUUAUAGACACAAGUGUAUGUAAAGAAAAUGUCUGUGGAGUCUAGUUCGUAUCGUUUAACAGAGAAUCUUGGGAGAGGAUGACCAUAUGACCUCAAAUAUUGUACUUUCCUGUCAGAGUGUCCUGGAGUUGUGAAGAGCCUACAUAAAACACUGAAUGACAGCAGUUAUUCUGAUUAGACCAAAGAUGGAUGUAUGAGUAUUGAGGAUCUCCAAGGAACCAAAAAGCAGUAUGACAGAGAGUAUGAGUUAUCUCAGAAGCUGUUUUAUUUACAACUGUCUGUUUGCAUUCACUUUCUGGAACAAUAUUGGCCUGGCUGUGAAAAAUGAACUCUUUACAUCUGUUCCUAACAAUUUUUCAGAAGGUGAUUUGGAUGAAAAAAUCUUGAGCUUUCCACUGUUGUAUCCAAAUAAUCAGCAGUCCAAAGCUAGUUUUGGUUGGGUUGUGACAGAAAAUGCUACGGAAAGCCUAUCAUUGUCAGAAAUCACAAAUGACAAUGUAAGAAAAUUAAUAACUUUAUUAUCUAAUUUUAGAAAAGGCUCCAGGCUACAAAAUCUGACACUGGCAAAUGUGUCAGUGGACUGGGAAGCUUUCAUUGAAGUACUUCAGACUGUAUGGCACUCAUCCAUUAAAUACUUCAAUGUCAACAAUUUAAUACUACUGUCGGAUGUCACAAGGCGUCGCUUCGACUAUUCAGAUACUUCCAUGAAAGCACUUGCGCUGAAGAAGGUUUCAGUCAGGGAUCUGUACUUUUCACAGGAUGACAUUUAUAGCAUAUUUGCAAACAUGAACGUUGAAACCUUGACGAUAGCUGAAUCUGAGUUAAUUCAUAUGCUGUGUCCUUCAUCUGACAGUCCCUUUAGAUCUAUAAAUUUUACAAAAAAUGAUUUAACAGAUCUGCUUUUUCAGAACUGUAACAAACUAAUUCAGCUGGAGACAUUUAUUUUGCAUAGGAAUAAAUUUGAGAGCCUUUCCAAGGUGAGCUUCAUGACCAGACAUAUGAAAUCACUGAAGUAUCUGGACAUGAGCAACAACUU